Molecule: non-coding RNA, 73 nt
Organism: Stegodyphus mimosarum
Lineage: Eukaryota; Metazoa; Arthropoda; Arachnida; Araneae; Eresidae
Source: Rfam
GCCUUCGUGGUGUAGUGGUCAGCACGCUCGACGGGUAACUGAGAGGUCCGUGGUUCGAUUCUCGGGGAAGGCG